RNAcentral lists this ribosomal RNA (279 nucleotides) under uncultured bacterium. Its description in RNAcentral is "partial 16S ribosomal RNA". It matches the Rfam family "Bacterial small subunit ribosomal RNA", at positions 506 to 784 of the family's 1533-position model. The record is from RNAcentral.
UGCCAGCAGCCGCGGUAAUACGUAGGGUGCAAGCGUUAAUCGGAAUUACUGGGCGUAAAGCGUGCGCAGGCGGUUCGCUAAGACAGAUGUGAAAUCCCCGGGCUUAACCUGGGAACUGCAUUUGUGACUGGCGGGCUAGAGUAUGGCAGAGGGGGGUAGAAUUCCACGUGUAGCAGUGAAAUGCGUAGAGAUGUGGAGGAAUACCGAUGGCGAAGGCAGCCCCCUGGGCCAAUACUGACGCUCAUGCACGAAAGCGUGGGGAGCAAACAGGAUUAGAUA